This 464-nucleotide ribosomal RNA is filed under the name Vreelandella stevensii. RNAcentral describes it as "partial 16S ribosomal RNA". It matches the Rfam family "Bacterial small subunit ribosomal RNA", at positions 338 to 794 of the family's 1533-position model. Lineage: Bacteria; Pseudomonadati; Pseudomonadota; Gammaproteobacteria; Oceanospirillales; Halomonadaceae. The record is from RNAcentral.
CCUACGGGUGGCUGCAGUGGGGAAUAUUGGACAAUGGGCGAAAGCCUGAUCCAGCCAUGCCGCGUGUGUGAAGAAGGCCUUCGGGUUGUAAAGCACUUUCAGUGGGGAAGAAAGCCUUGGGGCUAAUACCCUCGAGGAAGGACAUCACCCACAGAAGAAGCACCGGCUAACUCCGUGCCAGCAGCCGCGGUAAUACGGAGGGUGCGAGCGUUAAUCGGAAUUACUGGGCGUAAAGCGCGCGUAGGCGGUCUGAUAAGCCGGUUGUGAAAGCCCCGGGCUCAACCUGGGAACGGCAUCCGGAACUGUCAGGCUAGAGUGCAGGAGAGGAAGGUAGAAUUCCCGGUGUAGCGGUGAAAUGCGUAGAGAUCGGGAGGAAUACCAGUGGCGAAGGCGGCCUUCUGGACUGACACUGACGCUGAGGUGCGAAAGCGUGGGUAGCAAACAGGAUUAGAUACCCGGGUAUC